RNAcentral lists this ribosomal RNA (514 nucleotides) under uncultured bacterium. Its description in RNAcentral is "partial 16S ribosomal RNA". It matches the Rfam family "Bacterial small subunit ribosomal RNA", at positions 28 to 523 of the family's 1533-position model. The record is from RNAcentral.
GACGAACGCUGGCGGCGUGCCUAACACAUGCAAGUCGAACGGAGAAUUAGCAAUAAUUCUUAGUGGCGAACGGGUGAGUAACGCGUAGACAACCUACCCUUUAGAUGGGGACAACACCGCGAAAGUGGUGCUAAUACCGAAUAUUGCUUGAGAAGCGCAUGCUUUUCAAACUAAAGAUGGCCUCUAUUUAUAAGCUAUCGCUAAAGAAUGGGUCUGCGUCUGAUUAGCUAGUUGGUGAGAUAAAAGCUCACCAAGGCAACGAUCAGUAGCCGGUCUGAGAGGAUGAACGGGCACACUGGGACUGAGACACGGCCCAGACUCCUACGGGAGGCAGCAGUGGGGAAUCUUCCACAAUGGACGAAAGUCUGACGGAGCAACGCCGCGUGAGUGAUGAAGGUUUUCGGAUCGUAAAACUCUGUUGUUAAGGACGAAUGUAUAGAUUGUGAAUAAUGGUUUAUAAUGACGGUACUUAACGAGGAAGCCACGGCUAACUACGUGCCAGCAGCCGCAGUAA